This 259-nucleotide ribosomal RNA is filed under the name uncultured bacterium. RNAcentral describes it as "partial 16S ribosomal RNA". It matches the Rfam family "Bacterial small subunit ribosomal RNA", at positions 524 to 776 of the family's 1533-position model. The record is from RNAcentral.
UACGGAGGGUGCAAGCGUUUGUCCGGAUUUAUUGGGUUUAAAGGGUGCGUAGGCGGCUUUUUUAAGUCAGUGGUGAAAUACAGCAGCUCAACUGUUGAGGUGCCAUUGAUACUGAAGAGCUUGAGUACAGAUGAGGUAGGCGGAAUUUUAUGGUGUAGCGGUGAAAUGCAUAGAUACCAUAAAGAACACCGAUUGCGAAAGGCAGCUUACUAAGCUGUAACUGACGCUGAGGCACGAAAAGCGUGGGGGAGCGAACAGG